Molecule: non-coding RNA, 3603 nt
Organism: Jatropha curcas
Lineage: Eukaryota; Viridiplantae; Streptophyta; Magnoliopsida; Malpighiales; Euphorbiaceae
Source: RefSeq, a predicted model, not a curated record
UCGCCGCCUCCAUCUAUCUCCCCUAAAUCUGAACCAGAAAAAUGACGCCGUCUUCUUCAUCUCUCUAAACCCCAAUCGAAAACGAUGUCGCUCUCCCAAUGUCAACAGCUGCUGUCGACAUUCCCUUUUCCUCUCUCAAAUCCCUAAAAAUGAUUCUCUAGAACCUUUUAUCCCUUUUCAUGUUGAAGAAAGCGUCAUAUAAUAUAAACAAAGGUUGGUGGACCUCCAUUCUUGUGAAGUGAAGACAAAGGACUGUGGAAACAAAGCUGGUGGUUGGGGAAAAAAUAAUUUUGGCGGACAUUCAUCAAAGCUUGCACCAUAUCUGAGAUAUGGAUGAAUAUUUGACCAUUCGAUUGUGGCAUGGUGGCAUCAUACAAAUUGAUUUUGAAACUCCUUAUGUUGGUGGGCUGCCUAUUUUCUUUGAUAAUUGUGACCCUGACAAGAUGUCAUUAAUUGAGAUAAAGGGUUUGGGUAAGGAAUGUUGGUACAUAGAUGGUGUAAAAAUUGCUCUUCAAGUCCCAAACAUAGCAGGACCUGGUUCCAUAAGGUUGAUGAAUAAUGAUAUAGAUGUGUUAGAGAUGGCUGAAUAUGGCAGAAAAAAUUAUUUUGUAAACAUUUAUGUGGAGGCGAUUGAUGAUAGUAAUCAGGGAGAAAAUGAUGUAGUAGGUAAUUUGCAAGAAGGUCAUAAUCAGAAUUUGUAGGAAGUUAAUGCUGAAGGGAGUGAUUUUCAUAGGGUGAAUGUGAGGGAAGGAAAGGACAUUGAUUUGCAUAGUGUCAAUGUGGGAAAAGGAGAUGACACUUCCUCUAAGGAUUUUGAUUAUGUGCCUGCUGAAGAAAGCUUAUCAAGUUCUGAAGAAGAAAUUUCCACUGAAGAUGAAGAAUAUCAUUUGGCAAGGAGGAAUAGAAAGAAUGAAAGAAUUACAAACAUGGUUUUCUGCAGGAAAAAGAUGUUGGUGAGAAUAUAGUUCCAAGAAACAAUGUGACUGUUGAUCAAGUGCGAUCUUCUGUGAAUGAAGGAAAUAGUGGCUAUAUAAGUGUUUAUGACGAGACAGGUGAAGAUGUGAUUACACCUCAUAGUAGUGAUAGUGAGGUUGAAAGGAAUAGGUUAAUAAAGUGAAGGAGGAAGAUUAUUUAUGACCCUCAAUGUGAUUAUUCUAAGCUGAAGUUUACACAGGUCUUGAACAAUUUAAAUCUGCUGUCCAAGAGUUUGCAAUUGCAAAUGGGUUCAAUGUGAGAUGGUCUAGAAGUUGUUUUGAGAGGGCAGAUACUAGGUGUGUGCAAGGUUGCCCUUGGAGUGUAUAUGUUGUUGAGCUACAAAGGGAGAAGAAUUUUGUUGUCAAAACUCACAAUGAUGUACACAAAUGUUUCAGGAGCCUAACAAAUAGACAAGCAACUGCAAAAUGGAUUGCAACUAAGUUUCUCCCCAGAUUUAGAAAGAAACAUGAAUGGGAAGCAAUACAAGAUGAGUUGAAAGAGAGGUAUGGUCUUACAGUUAAUUUGAUGAUGUGCUAUCAUUCCAAAAAGAAAGCUCAAGAAAUGGUCAGGGGGUCUAUUGAGGAACAUUAUGCAAUGUUAAGAUCAUAUGAUGCUGAAUUGCAUCAAGCUGAUACAAAUAGGAGGUUUGAGUUUUAUUUUGAACAAGGUUCAGUUGGUGUUUUUAAAAGGUAUUAUGUUGGAUUCUCAUGCCUUGUGAAAUCAUUUAAAAGAAGAUGUAGGCCCAUUAUUGAGCUUGAUGGAUGCUUUUUGAAGACAAGAUUAGGUGGGAUUUUAUUGAGUGCAAUAGGUAGAGACCCAAAUAAUCAAAUGUACCCAAUAGCUUGGGCUGUGGUGGAGAUUGAAUCUCAAGUAACUUAGACUUAAGUCCUUUGAAGUUCUGUUUGAAGAAUUGGGCUUAGGUGAUGGGCUUGGUUGGACUUUUGUAAGUGACCAACAAAAGGGUCUUAUCAAUGCCAUUCAAGAACUAGCUCCUUUUCUAAACAUAGGAACUGCGCAAGGCAUAUUUAUGCAAAUUGGAAGAAGACUUACAAGGGUGAAGCUUUCAAGAAAUUGUUUUGGCGAGCUGGAAGAGCAAUAUAUGUUGCAGAAUUUAGGAGUGUAAUGAAGGAACUCAAGGAAUUAAGUGUCACUGCACAUGAUGCAUUAAUGAAGCAGAAUCUUGAGAAAUUUUGUAAAUGCUACAUUAAUGCACUACCUAACUGUGAUAUGAUCGAGAAUAACUUAUCUGAGACAUUCAAUGGGUACAUUAUCAAUGCAAGACGUUUACCUAUUAUAGACAUGUUAGAGGGAAUUAGGAGUGUCUUAAUGGAAAGGAUGUAUUUAAAGAGGAAUUUGACGCCAAAUUCUAGUGAUGAAAUCCCACCAAGAGUAAGAACAAAACUGGAAAAGGUGAAGCUGGAACCUAGGUACUGCACCCCUAAGCCAACAGUUGGAGAGACAUUUCAAGUGGCUAUGGGCCAGGAUGCUUUUGUAGUAGACUUAAAUGGAAAAACAUGUUCAUGCGGGUUUUGGGAUUUAAUUGGGAUCCCCUGCUGCCAUGCCCUUUAAUGUAUCAAUUACAUGAAAUAUGAUGAACUUCAACUCAUUGAUGGUUACUUGAAGAAGGAUACAUAUUUGAAGUGUUAUGAAGAUGGUUUGAAGCCAUUAAAUGGGAGAAAAAUGUGGCCUGAGGUGAUGUUAGAUCCAAUCAAGCCACCAAAAUAUGAGAAAAAAGCUGGUAGACCUUAGAAGGAAAGGGCAAAGGCUGCAGAUGAAACCCCAAAGGCCAAUGGCAAGUUGCCUCGUACUUGUUCCCAAAUGACAUGCCAAUUUUGCAUGCAAUAUGGCCAUAAUAAGAGGAGUUGCAAGAUGCCAAAUACAGCUGCAACAACAACCUCACAGUCACAACAGGUCAAAAAAAGAGGUAGACCCCCAAAAGUACCUGUCCCUGUUGCUACAAUUGAAUCUCAACUGCCAGAAAAAAGAGGCAGACCUCCUAAAGCACCAAAUCUACAAUAGCAGCCUUCUAUCUCCAUAGCAGAUGUUGUGCCUAAUGCAAACAGAGUAAAAACCACAGCAGCAAUUGCAGCAAAAGAUAGGGCAACUGCUUCAAAAAGGUAUGGAUGCUGUGUUUCAACUGAGACUGGCAGAUUGUAUUUUCAGGAACCUAUUACCAAUGCAGCCAAAUUUGUUAGUGGAAGUAGAGUUGAUGCAAGAAGAAUUUGUCAGAGCAAAGGGAAGGAACCUGCAAUAAUUUCUCAGAAAAAGGGGAAAGAACCUGCAACAACUUCUCAAAGAAAGGGGAAGGAACCUGCAACAGUUUGUCCGAGGAAGGGGAAGGAACAAGCUGCUAUAAGAGCAACUCAAGCUAGGAAACUAGGAGGCCUUGUUAUUGGCAGCCAAGAAUUAGCUAUUACUGAGUAGUACUUUAGGAAUGUAUGUUUGCAGCUUAGGCAUUUUUUGUAAGGUUUGAUGUUAUUUUUGGAUUCUCAUAUCAAGCCUUAAUGUAAGACCAAGAUCAUGUGUGACCUUACAAUUUGUUUAAUUUUGAUGCCAAGUGUGUUACAAACAGAUUUGAUUUUCACUCACAUUUACACUUAAUGAGAAGCUCAGUUGAUUGUUUACAUA